GUAGUACUUCCUCCGUUCCAAAUUAGUCGUCGCAGAAAUGGGUGUAUCUAGAAUUAAAAUACAUCUAGAUACAUCCAUAUAUGCGACAAGUAAUUCGGAACGGGGAGGGAGUAGAAC
Non-coding RNA from Triticum urartu, 117 nucleotides. The record is from Rfam. Lineage: Eukaryota; Viridiplantae; Streptophyta; Magnoliopsida; Poales; Poaceae.